This is a long non-coding RNA of Gavialis gangeticus (Gharial), 415 nucleotides long. RefSeq lists it as uncharacterized. The record is from RefSeq and is a predicted model, not a curated record. Lineage: Eukaryota; Metazoa; Chordata; Crocodylia; Gavialidae. The transcript is spliced from 2 exons.
GGGGCACUGAUGCUCGCUGUGCCCCCCAGAACGCCUUCUGGUUCAGCCUGGGCGCCUGCACCGCGCUGCUGCUGCCUGGCCUCAUCCUGGCCACGCGGCUCGCCAAGUUCUACCGCCGCAUGGACUACGCCGACGUCCACGAGAACGAGGCCCUGGAGAUGUGAGUCCGGCAACCGAAGGGGGGGUGGGCAGGUACUGUGGGACAUCCCCUUAUGCCCCCUCCCGCGCACCCCACAGGUCCGUGCCGCCCCCUGCCUUCAAGAUCCCACGGGUGGAGACGAGGCCGUGAUGCCCCGGUCCUGAGGUCGCGGCCACGGGCGCAGCUGCCCAGGCUGGGUGGCGGGUUGCUCUGGGCCACGGGGUUGCUUUGCCCCAGCGCCGGCAUGCCCGCGCGCAAUAAAGCAGCGUGUGUGUG